This 29-nucleotide small RNA is filed under the name Bombyx mori (domestic silkworm). RNAcentral describes it as "ovarian small RNA-17192". Lineage: Eukaryota; Metazoa; Arthropoda; Insecta; Lepidoptera; Bombycidae. The record is from RNAcentral.
GGAACUCAUAGAUGACACAACUACACCAC